GGUAGGGUGGCUGAAUAAUAGGUGGUAGACUGUAAAUCUACUUAUGAGAAAUUAUCUCUCCUACCA
This 66-nucleotide transfer RNA is filed under the name Shirakiacris yunkweiensis. RNAcentral describes it as "tRNA-Tyr". Lineage: Eukaryota; Metazoa; Arthropoda; Insecta; Orthoptera; Acrididae. RNAcentral also lists the same sequence under 1 other name. The record is from RNAcentral.